RNAcentral lists this long non-coding RNA (274 nucleotides) under Sorghum bicolor (sorghum). RNAcentral's name for it is "long non-coding RNA (SBIC_LNC016062)". The record is from RNAcentral. Lineage: Eukaryota; Viridiplantae; Streptophyta; Magnoliopsida; Poales; Poaceae.
CCAGCCCAAUACACGGGAGGGGGACUAUAUAAGAAUCAAUGAAGCUGUCACUAUCACGAACUACCCCACGAUCUGGCAUAUUGGGUACAAUCGCAGAUAAAUACGGUAUAAGCACCACGCCUACACAAUAUCUAUCAUUUACCCAUGGAUCCGAUGGAUAAACGCUAUACGAUCCUAAGCAUGUAUAUAGAUCCAAUCUAACUAAGCCAAGUACAUAACUAUGACAAACUAAGAACAAUAUAAUCUUGAAUAUAAGCAAGUAGAGCAAAGUCAU